AACAUGCCUUUGUGAUGCCACAACCUGUGAUGAGAGGAAGUGAGGUAAAUGAUGUAGGCACCGCUAGCACUGUGACACUGUGUCAACCAGAUAACAAAGACAGCCAGUAAGGGACUAACAGGCAGGAGCAUAUACAGCAUGGAUAUGUCAGACAGAGGGAUGGACUGGGCAGGAUGAAGCAGGAUGGUGCAAGAUAUUAUCAUGCUACUCAGAAAGGCUGUAUAGAAAGAUUUGGACUUGGGCAGCUGUAGUAUUAUCCUGUGAGGACCACAGAUGUUACCUGUAAUAGUAAAAUAAUGAAGGUGAUCAUAGAAGACACUGCAGGUAACCCACUGUGUCCUCCCCUUUUCCACUUCAGCAUACAUGGUCCCACUUCCAAUUGCCAGUAUCUGCCCUCCUCUGCCGAGGGCUUUCUUUUGCUGCUUCCCAAUAACUUGCACUCACUGGGCAGUUGGAACCACUAGGGGAUGCAGGCUUCUUACCCCAGAGCCCUCUAAUCAAUGCCUGGAAGACUGACUUCCCCAGCUCCCUUACAUCUCAGGUUAGAACUCUGCUGUGUGUGCUUUACACUGGCUCCCAGAGUCUCUGCAGCAGAAUCAAGCUCUGGAACUCAGCUGGGUAACACCUAUGUGCCCUUCCUAGUCCUUUCACCACUUCCUACCAGUAUUUUCCUUCAACCUCCAAAUAAAUUCCUUGCACUGAGAUCCUUGUCUCAGGGUCUGUGUCUGGGAAAAUCCACACCCAGUUAGCAUUCCUUUCAGACUGAGAAGUGGACAAGGAUGUCUGCUAUUCUAUCACUGUUUACUACUGUACUGCAGGUCUGUAUGAACUAAGGCAAGAAAAGGAACAAAGGUUGAGAGGCUUAGAGAAGAGCAAGCUUCCUUUUGAUAUGACUUCUCUAGAAAACCAGAAAGAUGCAUUACUCAGAUUAAUUAGAGUUUUUCAAGAUGGCUGACUGAAAAAUUAAUGUACAGAAAAGCAAUUCUGGGAGAGGGGAGGGAGAGGAGAGGAAGGGAAUCUUAAAAAAAUCAGAUGUAUUAUGUGCAUGCACCACUCCCCACAAUAAAUGUAAUCAUAUACUGCAGACAUUUGCUAAUAAAAAUAAAACAUUUUAAAAAUCAACCUUUCUACCAGCAACAAAUGAUGAGAAAAGGAAAUUUGUAAAAAGGUUUGCUUCAAUCAAGCAUAAAAAUCAAAUACCGAUGAAUAAAUAUAAAAGAUGGCCAAGAUCUCUACACAGAAC
RNAcentral lists this long non-coding RNA (1243 nucleotides) under Heterocephalus glaber (naked mole-rat). RNAcentral's name for it is "lncRNA (ENSHGLG00100037998.1)". The record is from RNAcentral. Lineage: Eukaryota; Metazoa; Chordata; Mammalia; Rodentia; Bathyergidae.